This 366-nucleotide long non-coding RNA is filed under the name Mus spicilegus (steppe mouse). RNAcentral's name for it is "lncRNA (ENSMSIG00000021549.1)". Lineage: Eukaryota; Metazoa; Chordata; Mammalia; Rodentia; Muridae. The record is from RNAcentral.
GAACCAGCUCGAGCUUGUGUUGCUGACACUUGUAAAAGUCUUGCUUUGACUUGCAGAUGGAAGGAACAUAUCUCAAGCUGAGCAGUGAUGGACAGAGCGGGAUGCUUGACACCUCCGGGAGAUGCUGUUCUUUGUGCAAAAAGCCAUUUCAAAGAGUAGGGUGAAGAGAGGGCUGGACUCCUGCUAGGUAUGGGGUUCCGGCCCUGCAGCCUUCAAGUGCCACAUGAAUGCCAGACACUGAACCCUUCAUUUGAAAUCACUGAAAUCCCAGGAAGUUCUUCAGAGAGGGCUGAGGUCUCGAUUUUACAUUCAGAAACAUUGACCAACUGACAGACGCAAAAUAAAGAAGUCAACCCAAGAUUGGCA